Molecule: ribosomal RNA, 506 nt
Filed under: uncultured bacterium
Lineage: Bacteria
Description: partial 16S ribosomal RNA
Rfam family: Bacterial small subunit ribosomal RNA
Source: RNAcentral
AUUGAACGCUGGCGGCAUGCUUUACACAUGCAAGUCGAACGGCAGCAUGACCAAGCUUGCUUGGUUGAUGGCGAGUGGCGAACGGGUGAGUAACACAUCGGAACGUGCCCUGUAGUGGGGGAUAACCUACCGAAAGGUAGGCUAAUACCGCAUACGACCUGAGGGUGAAAGUGGGGGACCGCAAGGCCUCACGCUAUAGGAGCGGCCGAUGGAAGAUUAGCUAGUUGGUGAGGUAAAGGCUCACCAAGGCGACGAUCUUUAGCGGGUCUGAGAGGACGAUCCGCCACACUGGGACUGAGACACGGCCCAGACUCCUACGGGAGGCAGCAGUGGGGAAUUUUGGACAAUGGGGGCAACCCUGAUCCAGCAAUGCCGCGUGAGUGAAGAAGGCCUUCGGGUUGUAAAGCUCUUUUGUUUGGGAAGAAGAAUCUGGUGUUAAUACCACUGGAUGCUGACGGUACCAAAAGAAUAAGCACCGGCUAACUACGUGCCAGCCGCCGCCGUAA